CCCUUAGAUGUUCUGGGCUGCACGCGUGCUACACUGAUUACUUCAACAAGUGUUUUAACUGGAGAGUUUGCGUAAUCCUGAAAUGUUAUCGUGAUGGGAGUAGAGUAUUGUAUUUGUUAAUCUUUAACGAGGAAUUCCUAGUAAGUGUAGGUUUAUAAGUUGUUCUGAUUACGUCCCUGCCCUUUGUACACACCGCCCGUCGCUCCUACCGAUUGAUUGAUCCGGUGAAUAAUUCGGACCGAUGCAGUGCUCAGCUUCUGAACUUUGCAUUGGAAAGUUUAGUGAACCUUAUCACUUAGAGGAAGGAGAAGUCGUAACA
Molecule: ribosomal RNA, 319 nt
Filed under: uncultured eukaryote
Lineage: Eukaryota
Description: partial 18S ribosomal RNA
Rfam family: Eukaryotic small subunit ribosomal RNA
Source: RNAcentral